AUGGACAUUCCAUGGCUUUUAUCUUCUCCUAUAGAGAAACGUGACCUUGUUGUUUUGUCCCACUGGCCUCCUGGACCAAGUUCUUCCACCAAGGAUGGCUCACCACCUCCAAAGGAUCACAGCCCAAAGUCAAAGACUGAACACAGUUCUGAUUCAGACUCCACACCAAACACCCGGACCUCAAAGACAAACAAUUCCAGAUCAUCACCUGAGGACAAAAAGCGGGGACAUUUGGACAGGAGGACAUUUAGGCCAUUUAAUUUGAUGCACGACAACCAGAGAACCGGGAGGCCAUUCAGGAGACCAGGACCAGGACCCAUGCAGGGACCAAGAUUCACUGGUGGUCCAAGGAAGACAGGCCCUGAACUGUCUGGAAAUGUUAGACGACCACUCAUGGAGAGCUUAGUGCCGCGUCCCAUCCCAUCCAGGCCAGUGUUCAGAAAAAGUCACAGUAUUAUGUCCAAAUACCGCAACAUGAGAGUGAUGCGACAGCGCGCACCAUACAGUCGAGGUCCCAACCAACAACGCUGGUGGUAACCUCUGGUCCUACAGUUGGCAGGUUUAACACUGGAAAAUGUGGGAGACACUAAUGUUUUUUGGCUGGGUGGACUGCACAAAUCCUGCGCUCCAUACAACCCAACCUGCCUGUAUAUUGUGGAAGUGUUGCUUAUAUAUAUAUUUUUUUUUUCCUCUAUGUGUGUUUCUGUUGCAUCUUUAAAUACUGCAGGACUUCAGGACGUUUGUAACAUAUGCCAUCAUAUUUUGCUGUGCUGCUUAUGCCACUGUGUAUAUGAUGAUUUGGGAGUAGCUGCUUGAGAUCUUGGCUGACUUUGUUUUACUUAAAUAUUUUAACCCUUUUUUGUUGUUUACCAGUAACAUUUCUUUUUUCUUUUUUUUUUUUUUUUUUUUUUUUAAAUUUCAGCAAGUCCAGCAUUUUAUUUAAUAUCUACCUAUCAUGUGAGGUCAAGAGUGUCGUGAAACAGUGGCUUUUUGACUGACUCUUAGCUACUACUUGUAAAACUUGUAUAAUCACUUGUUCAGUUUGUUUCAGACUUAAAAUAAAAUGGGAUUUAACAAACUCUGUUAGUUGUUUCAUUGUAAAAUGGAACUGAGAUUUCAUAAUAAAUGCAGAUGAUCACUCUUUCUGCCUUUCCUUUGUUCGGUCCUGUAUAAACACCAGCUCUAGUUCAGUCUGUUAAACACAACUCUCGCCCUCCCCCAGUGAUAUUUGUGAGGGGAGUGGUGCUAAACUUAGCCCUGACAGUACCACUCCUCAUCACAACAUACUCCGCACACCACACCGGGUUACAAUGGAUGGAGUCGAGUUACCACAGAUGCUGCUGUAUCUCAAUGUUGACGCUGACAAAACAAGGUGAGUGUAUGCACCAGGUCCUUUACAGCCACUGAUAAUAAUUUAGCAGUUGGUUUUUGUCUGUUCACUAAUGUCUGAACCUGCCACUGCUCCUUUUUGUGUGUGGGGUCGAGCAUGUGUCGCACAUUUGUUUGCUGUUGUGGCAUGAGAGAAACAGCUGCCUGUCUAGCACCCAAAUUUGGUUCUCCACACUUUUAUAUAGAAUGUCCAAACUUAAGUUGCUGUUAUAUUAUCAAGAGCACAGGUAAUGGUUAAACAAAUGUAAUGACCAUUUUUAAAAAUCAUUUCACUUUCUUAAAGGUAUAGCAUGAUGUGAGACUGUGCCGACUGGUUUUUGUUGAUACUUGCUUCACUGACUUGCUGCAAUCUGUCAUUUGUAGAUGUAGAUUUAAAGACUGCAGGUUUUUGUCUGUCUACAAUUGUAUUCCUCUCUGUCAUGAUGGGCAACUAUAGUUCAGCCCUCAUUCCUGGUAAGCCUUGCAACUGCUGCUGUUACAUCAGUUACAUUAGUUUUAAAAAAGCAAAAAAACUAGCAUGGUUGAAUGCUGUAUGUUUUAACAGUUAAGUAUUAUUACACGCUUUGUAAUCACACACAGGACAAGAUGUAGAUUUAUUACUAUAAAAUGCCCUAGAUUCUCUGUAGUCAAUGGUUUAAAUAAGAUCUGGAUAUUGCAAUGUGUGUUUUAACAUUUAUUCUCCGAUUCUCUUAAAGACACUGAAGAGUUUGUUUCAAUUGUGUCAAUGGCGGAGAAGCUGAAUGAGCAGGUAGCUCGUGCUGCAGAUGAGAGUUUACAGGCAGAGCUUCAGACUCUG
This is a long non-coding RNA of Mastacembelus armatus (zig-zag eel), 2185 nucleotides long. Ensembl annotates it as SH3 domain-containing kinase-binding protein 1-like. Lineage: Eukaryota; Metazoa; Chordata; Actinopteri; Synbranchiformes; Mastacembelidae. The record is from Ensembl.